CCAAUAGCGUAUAUUAAAGUUGUUGCAGUUAAAAAGCUCGUAGUUGAAUUUCGGGAUCAAUACGUCGGUCGUGCCUCUGGUAUGUACUGGCGUUGUUGGUUUCUCCUUUCUGAGGAGCCAUGAUGCCAUUAAUUUGGUGUCGUGGGGAAUCAGGACUGUUACUUUGAAAAAAUUAGAGUGUUUAAAGCAGGCACACGCUUGAAUACAUUAGCAUGGAAUAAUGAAAUAGGACGUUCGAUUCUAUUUUGUUGGUUUCUAGGAUCAACGUAAUGAUUAAUAGGGAUAGUUGGGGGCAUUAGUAUUCAAUUGUCAGAGGUGAAAUUCUUGGAUUUAUUGAAGACUAACUACUGCGAAAGCAUUUGCCAAGGAUGUUUUCAUUAAUCAAGAACGAAAGUUAGGGGAUCGAAGACGAUCAGAUACCGUCGUAGUCUUAACCAUAAACUAUGCCGACUAGGGAUCGGAUGAUGUUAAUUUUUUAAUGACUCAUUCGGCGCCUUACG
Molecule: ribosomal RNA, 500 nt
Filed under: uncultured Glomeromycotina
Lineage: Eukaryota; Fungi; Glomeromycota
Description: partial small subunit ribosomal RNA
Rfam family: Eukaryotic small subunit ribosomal RNA
Source: RNAcentral